AUCUUCAAUUGCCUCCUUAUAAUAACCAAUCAUCUCUCUCGCUGUGCCUCUGCGUAAAUAGGCCUUUACAUUCUUCUUAUCAAGGUUGAUAGCUUCAGUACAAUCAUCCUCAGCUUGAACAAAACUCCCUAAUUCAAGAUAUGCUGCAGCUCUGUUACUAUAAUAUGUUGCAUUCUUGCCAUUGAGUUUGAUUGCUUCGGUAUAAUAGCCAAUAGCCUUCUGCCACUGCUUAUCUUUGAAUGCUUGGUUGCCCUUUUCUUUAGCCAUCUCAGCAGUUCUUUCCUUACUGUCAGAAUUAGGAGAUAAUUUGGACUUGGCAAGCAUAUCAACCUGCUCUUGAAGAGAUGCAUAAAUGAUCUGUACAGUAUCCAGCAGAAAGCGAUCACCCCCAUGCCUGGCUAUGAAGGAUACUGAAACUGGACGCUUAUCAUAAUGUCCCAGUGGAAUGGUCACCUGACAACAACCUGAUAGGCUUGCAAUACUCAACAGACUAAAUGAACCAAUCUGGUAAUCCUCUGAUAGUCGCACCAAGUUUUGGAGGAAGAUAAGCAGUUGUAGGGAUAACCAGAAUUCCAUCGUCCUUUAGAAGUGAGUCAAUGGCUGCACGUAAUUCAUUUCUGAUGGAUUUAAAAAUUCCAAUAUCUGUAUCUGUUAUCUCUAGGAUUUCAUUUAUUUGCGCAGAGAUAUCCAGAUUAGGCUUCUCCACAUUAAUCCAUUCCUCGUGAUUAUAUCUGAAUUCAUAUCUAUGCAGAAGCUGCAAAAUAUUGGCUAGCGAUCUUAUUGAAGAAGUACUAAGUUCACUAUUUGUUUUUUUGUCAUGGAACUGUUUUAAGCUUGGAACUUUAGAAGAGAGAAUAUCUUCAAGAUUUUCAUGCCUCAAUACUUGUCUUCCAAAAAGCUUCUCAGUGGAUUUAAUCACCACCUGCGCAACCCUGUCAACAGGAAUCUUUAGUAGUUGAAAACAAUCAUCAACUAUUAUAAUUUGCCUCGGAUUUCGUUGAACUCCAAAAGGCAGUUGCAAGAGCACAUGUCCAACACGACGCAUAACAUUUGGAUCCUUGGCAAACCAUCCAACAGUGUCAAGACUUGUCGAGACAGGUAAAAUCCCAAAGUGAGGGAUGGCUCCAUAUGACGGUCGGUAUCCUAUAAUGCCACAAAAUCCAGCAGGUAUUCUAACACCACCAACAGUAUCAACACCUAAAGAGAAAUCAACAAGUUUAGCAGCUACAGCAACAGCAGCUCCACUAGAAGAUCCACCUGGUACAUAUGCAGGUGCUGCUGGAUUGGUCGGUGUACCAUAAUGCUUAUUUUCUCCAUUUAUACUAUAAGCCAGUUCAUCCACAAUUGUUUUCGCAAUGCAAGUGGCACCUCCUUCAACAAGAGCUGAAACAACAGGAGACGUCCAAGAAGCUGCCUCAUGUGUCCUCACCCAAUCUGGAUGACCAAAUCCAGUCACAUAUCCUUCAAUGUCAAAUACGUCAGAAACAGCGAAGGUAAGGCCAGUGAGAGGAUGAGGAGCUUUCGGAGGAGCAGGCUGCGGCGGAGGAAGGAGCUGAAGCUUCUCGACAAAAGCGCCAAAAUCUUCCCUUAUCGCUUUCUUCAACUUUUUAGUCAUUAAGAGAAUCCCAGCUAGACCAAGCCCCAGUAGCACCCACAGAUUAGCGGGAUUAGAGGCCAUGUUUCCCCAAUCCCCUCACUACCAGAGGCAAUUCUUCUUCUCUGUAAAAACCCAAGAAUCUAAGUUCUAUAAAGAAACUGAGAUAGAUAGAUAGAUAGAUGAAGAGG
This 1785-nucleotide unclassified non-coding RNA is filed under the name Hevea brasiliensis (rubber tree). Lineage: Eukaryota; Viridiplantae; Streptophyta; Magnoliopsida; Malpighiales; Euphorbiaceae. The record is from RNAcentral.